Molecule: transfer RNA, 65 nt
Filed under: Nallachius americanus
Lineage: Eukaryota; Metazoa; Arthropoda; Insecta; Neuroptera; Dilaridae
Description: tRNA-Pro
Source: RNAcentral
CAGAAAUAGUUUAAUAAAAAAUUAUAAUUUUGGAGAUUAUAGAUGGGAGAGCUUUUCUUUCUGAA